GUCGGGGUGCACCGGUACCUGAAAGCAAAGGCUGUAAAGGGGCUCCGAUGUCGGGGGAAACCCUCCUGCCCAAUGCGGGAUAGAGCGAAAGACAACCGGCAAAACGAAAGCGCCAGCAAUGGCGCUUUCGUCGU
RNAcentral lists this small RNA (134 nucleotides) under Mangrovibacter sp. MFB070. RNAcentral describes it as "sraL Hfq binding RNA". It matches the Rfam family "sraL Hfq binding RNA". Rfam says of the family: The SraL RNA ('sra' for small RNA), discovered in E. coli, and later in Salmonella Tiphimurium. It is expressed only in stationary phase. Lineage: Bacteria; Pseudomonadati; Pseudomonadota; Gammaproteobacteria; Enterobacterales; Enterobacteriaceae. The record is from Rfam by way of RNAcentral.